RNAcentral lists this ribosomal RNA (253 nucleotides) under uncultured bacterium. RNAcentral describes it as "partial 16S ribosomal RNA". It matches the Rfam family "Bacterial small subunit ribosomal RNA", at positions 524 to 776 of the family's 1533-position model. The record is from RNAcentral.
UACAGAGGGUGCAAGCGUUAAUCGGAAUUACUGGGCGUAAAGCGUGCGCAGGCGGUUAUGUAAGACAGAUGUGAAAUGCCCGGGCUUAACCUGGGAACUGCAUUUGUGACUGCAUGGCUAGAGUGUGUCAGAGGGGGGUAGAAUUCCACGUGUAGCAGUGAAAUGCGUAGAUAUGUGGAGGAAUACCGAUGGCGAAGGCAGCCCCCUGGGAUAACACUGACGCUCAUGCACGAAAGCGUGGGGAGCAAACAGG